Molecule: unclassified non-coding RNA, 304 nt
Filed under: plant metagenome
Description: partial contains 5.8S ribosomal RNA, internal transcribed spacer 2, and large subunit ribosomal RNA
Rfam family: 5.8S ribosomal RNA (bases 1-105)
Source: RNAcentral
GAAAUGCGAUAAGUAAUGUGAAUUGCAGAAUUCCGUGAAUCAUCGAAUCUUUGAACGCACAUUGCGCCCCCUGGCAUUCCGGGGGGCAUGCCUGUCCGAGCGUCAUUUCUGCCCUCAAGCACGGCUUGUGUGUUGGGUGUGGUCCCCCCGGGGACCUGCCCGAAAGGCAGCGGCGACGUCCGUCUGGUCCUCGAGCGUAUGGGGCUCUGUCACUCGCUCGGAAAGGACCUGCGGGGGUUGGUCACCACCAUAUUUCACCACGGUUGACCUCGGAUCAGGUAGGAGUUACCCGCUGAACUUAAGC